Long non-coding RNA from Felis catus (domestic cat), 9836 nucleotides. RefSeq lists it as uncharacterized. The transcript has 3 exons. NCBI's taxonomy places the organism in Eukaryota, Metazoa, Chordata, Mammalia, Carnivora, Felidae. The record is from RefSeq and is a predicted model, not a curated record.
AAUAAAGGUUAAAAAACAUUUUUUUUUUUAAUUUAUAACAUAUUUUAGUCAAUGCUGUGACUUCCCUAGGUCUAGGCUUGGCUCAACGAUUGGGCUCCUCAGCCGGGAAGGUGAAGGCAUUCCACAGAGUUCUCCCCCUGCAGGUGUCUGGGGCGUUCUAUGGAGACUGGCCAGGGCUGGGCCACAGGCAGUGUCUGGAAACAGGGAGAACUGUCCAGGGAGGCUGAGCUGGGGGUUGUGCCUGCACGGGCAUUCUUGUAUGGAGGGGUGGUGUGGCAUUCUAAUCGUACCCCUAGAAGGGAAAAGCCUCCAAGACCCUAACUUGUGAGUCUGGAGACAUUUAUGGGGAUGGCCAGGCCAGGAAGGCAUCUGGGACAAACUGUCAGGAAAGGAGGUCCUGAGGAUGGGGGGGGGGGGCGGCGGCAAACUCCGCCCCCCUGGCCAAGCCCCAUCCCUGCUGCCCUGCCACUCCCCUGAGUUUCCCUGUUUACUGCCACAACACAUCCCGGGGGCCAGCCCCCUUGCCCUUCCUGCUCAGGGAGGCCUGGGUUGGCCUCUCUCAGCUCCCUGGGCACCUCUUUCCCAACCUCCCGGCUGUUACAACACACACAGAAAAUGACAACCAUUGCAGGGCACACUGGCGAACGGAAGUCAGGGAAGCCAGAGGCAACCAGCCUCCCUGUCCCUGAACAGGCUGGCGCCCUCCUGCCUCAGGGCCCUUGCCUGUGCCAAGCCCCCUGCUCAAAUCCACGUAUCCGCAUGAUUUGUCACCACCAUUUCCUCUCAACCGGGCCCAGGUGCCAACCUUCCCCGCGGCCCUGCCAGGAGUCUGGGGUGGUGGGAAAACCCUGGCCUUGCAGUCUGUUUUCGUCUGUAAUUAGGACAGUAUCACCAGCUUCCUGGGGGUGGCCGUGAGGACAGAGAUGGUGUCGGGGCACUCCUGAGUGGAGCAGGUACACAGCGACGGGGAUGGGGCCCCGGGAGGACCCAUGGCCUGCCCAGGCUCUGCCUGGGUGUCCUGGCUGCUGGGGAGAGAAACAUCCAUUGUUCUGGGCUGGGAUCUCCAGUGAGCGCCUGUCCCUCCAGGGCCCCAAGUGGCCCCCGCACACCUUCCCGUUCUGCCUUAGAGCUUCCCCAGCACGAGAGCACACUGUUGCUUAUCCGCUGCUUCCACUAUCCUUCGAGGGAGGUGAGGUGGGCACUGGAGCGCCCAUUUUACAGAUGGGGGAUUAGAGGUUCCGAGAGGUGAGGUGAGAUAACAUCCAGGGGGUCUCCCACACAUGCGCCGGGCUCUACGCUUCCCGCUACGGUCCUUUGUGCUGGACCCUGAUGGGCGUUGGUUCCGAGGUUAUACUGGGACCCAAUCUCUAGGCCCACAGAGGAGGGCUGUGUGCAUUCAGGGCUCUGCCGUGAUGCCAGAUAAUCUGCAUUUAUUGAGCCCCGACCACGGAGCCAGCCAAGCGUUUGACUCUGGGACUUGUCAAGCCUCACACAUCUAGGAACAGGCGCGGCUGUCCCGUGCAGAGAUGCGGAAGUGAGCCAGCGCCAGGAGUGAAGCCUGGUCUUCGUGAUGUGAAAGUCUGUGCUCCCUCCCGCAGGCGGCACUGCUGGGAGAGAAGGGGAGGCGGGGACAAAGAGGAGGGCGUGAAGAGGGAAGAGAAACUCGGAGUUUGGAGAGUCUGGGACGCUGGAGGGGAGGUGGACUCCGGGGAGCCGAUUCAGGAGACAGACGGCUCUAGCCAGGAAGAACAAGCUGGCAGCCGCUGGGACCGAGCCCGUAAGCCAAAGGGCUUGGCCAAGGAGGAAGGAAACUGCCAGCACGCGCACAUCUGCACCCCAGGAGCCCAAGCUGCUCUCCGCGAAGCUGGGGUGAGGAGGGCGGUUGGUCUAGGGACACGGGGGAGAUGCUAGGCCGUGAGCCCCGCCCCUCGCCAGGCCUGCUCUUCAGGCAUCUCAGCCCCUCCUGACUCACACCGUCCCCCCCUGAGUCCACACGCGGAUAAUCAGAAGGUGUUGGUGGACGGGUGGGUGUCAGCUUCCGAGGGCGGGUUUUCCCCCGGGGUUGCGUAGCCGGGCGGGCACGAGGCCCGAGGGCAUCUUGUCACUCUUGGUGGCUUGGUGCGGGUGUGCAUGCUCCUGCAUGUGAGUGCCUGUGUGUGCCAGGUUUGCGGUGUCACGCAGGGGCCCCUUGGCGUGUUUGCCUGUACACGUGGUGUGUGCACGAGCACGUACUGACUGCGAACGAUCGUGCGUGUGUGCAUGCCCGCGUGGUGGCGUGGGUCGAGGGGGCCUGUGCUGUGCGCACACGCGUGUAUGCAUGCGUGUGUGCCUGUGCAGGAGAGCUGGGCAGAGAGGACACUCCAGUGAUGCUGGGGAGGAUCCCUGCUUUCCCAUGAUCCCCCACUGAAGCUGGCCGAGGACGCUGUUGCAGGGAAGGGAGGCCUGGGAAGCCUUCUCCCAAAGGUGCUGCCAGCAGCAGGGGAGGGAGGGAGGAAACAGCACCUUAUUUAAAUGCAAAUGACUGAAAUACAACUUUCUUUAUUAAAAUGCAAAUUACACUUCAGUCUCACACCUCCCGGUGCCAAAGCCACAGAACCCAAUCAGGAAUCAAAGCCGCAAGGACCCUCAGUCACCCGGGGUGGUGAGAGGCCCCACUUGCUGGGCACAGGAAGCCAAGGCGGACAGAGGAUGGGCCCCAGGUGGGCCUGGGAUGUUGAGCCAGAUGCUUGCCAUCCCCCCCUCUAGGGCUUCCGGGAGAGGGAAACAGCUACUGAUGCCAGAAGUGGGGGCCGGAGGUUGCCCCCAGAGCAGACCAGGCCGGAGCUUGCCCUGGGCCACCUGCUGGCUCUCUGCCUGGCUGGGGCAACGCGCUGCGUGGUCCCCAAUGAGCCCCGGGCUCCCUGGUGAGCCUGGAGCCCUCAGUUGGGAGACUUGUUUGGCUACUUGCAAACAAGAAUUGUUUGGCUACUUGCCAACGCGGUUAACCGGACCGCCUCUUGGACGGUCAGAACCUGGCUGCCAGGGAGAGUAUUGGAGUCCACCUCGAGCAGCCCCAGCUCUGAGCUCAGGCCCCAAGGCAGCCUUGACUCCCUCAUCCCCUCCUCUUGCCAGGGGCCCUGGAGCAGGCUGCCAGGUCGUGAGGGGGGACUGCAGUAGGCGACCUGACUCGGGGUCAGAUCCUCUGGCAAGAAGGGUAUCUUUCUCUUCGCACACAGACACACUUGACUUACACCUUUUCCUAAGUCAGUCCUCCCACAGAAGGUGCCUCUUCCUGAUUUGCACGUAGUCGCCGCACAGCUUGGGGGCUCCUGAGACCUCGGACUUCUCUUCUGCUCUACACCUCCCUCUCAGAUCUUACUUCUGCUCCCUGCUCCUUGCUUCCCCCACCCCCACGUCUCUACACUUUGUUCCCUGCACCCCCUCUUUGCUCCUCAUCUUCUAGCCCUUCUCCACCUCUCUGCACCCUCCCUCUGGUUUGUCCCCCUCCCAGAAUCAGCCUGACAUGGGGUCCUCAUCCACCAGGGUCUGAGACAGGUGCAGGCAGCCCAGGAAGGGUGGGCCAGACCCUUGCUGGCUCAGGGCCAUCCCGGCACGUGCAGGGAGCCCGGGGCGUGGGGGAGGGUCCCGGCUCCUUCCAUCUGCCAAGCUCCUAAUAUAGGCAGCAGCAGCCGGGGCGCCGAGCGGGGGAAGCAGGGGAAGCAGAAGGCAACUUGGAGCUGGAGGGUGACAGGGCUGCAUUUCCUCCGUAUAAAUAGUCCUGUCUGUCUCCCUGGGGGGCGGGUGGCUUCCUGGGGCACUUCUGAUGUCAUCAGCGUCCCCGGAGAGCUCUGCUGUUAUGGCGGGGAUAGCUGUCACAGGAGGCUGCAGCGCUGGGGCCCCCAGCGUGCCUCGGGGCCAGUGCAUCGGGCAGUCCCGGCCUCUCUCAAGCAUCUUCUUGGUCACCGAAGACCCACACCCCAGGCUGUGCGGGUCAUGGAGUGGGCCCCUCUGAGGUCUCUUCCUUGACCUCACGCCCAAAUCGCUCCGCUGGUCCCACCAGGCCCAGGGACUCUGGGAGGCUGCCCUGGGGGACGCUGAGAACACGGCAACCCCAUGUAGACCCCCAUCUCUCCGUGCGAUGGGUCCAAGCACAAGAGAUGACAAAGAUUUUGGUGAGAGAUACAGGUGGCUCCUGGCUGUCGCCAUACUGGCCUCAACUUCCCCGGCAGGGCCCCCGGCUCCGUCCACUCCGGGAGGAGAAGGCUCACCCUCAACCCGGCACAGCACCGCCCACCCUAAAUGCCAAGCUUUGGUCCCGUAUUUCGGUAUCAACGUGGGCUUCUUCAGACCCUGUUACCCUGUCGAGAAGGUAGAGGAGACAAAGCUCCAGCCAGGGCUGUCACCAUCAGGCUGGGAGCUCCCAGAGGACAGGGGCUGCUCCGCCCAUCAGACGUGUGGGGGGCGGGUGUUGGUUCUUUAAGAGCCGGAGGCCCUGCCUCUGUCCUCAGGCUGGGGUUUCCCUCAUAUGGAGGUGGUCCUGCUGAUGGAGCCCCGUGGGAGUCUGUCUCCAGAGCCCGAUCUGUCCUUGAAAGUCCCGGGGGGGGGGGGCAUCCUGACCAACAAGAAUGGCCUUAGGAGGGCACUGCAAGGGGACAAAGACACUGGGCAGCUGGCAAAGGCCAGGGCCCGUCCCCCGCCUGCACUCCCAGCCACUGGCUGAGGAGGGUAUGGAAGGGAAGGCCAGCACGGCAGGGAGGAAACGGGGAGGCUUGGGACAAGCAGGCGGAGGCUGGGGACCCAUCUGUGCCUGGUGGGCUUUGAACAGCGUGGCUCGUAUGGGACAGUGAGCAGGGGCUCCGGAGCCACUCGACUCUGCGCUUACUAGCUUUGUGAUGCCAGCAAAGGCGCUCAACCUCUCUGAGCCCUCACUUUCUCUGAGAAGACUCAACAGGACCUGCGUCGCGGCAUUGACAUCAUCCAAUGGUGCGUGGCGCACGGCAAGGACCGUCCUUAGGCUGAAAGCCCCCGGGUCUCCUCUUACAAUUCUUCGGCUGUUAGAGGCCCUCCCGGCUCCUCCUGCCUUGCAGGGCACCCACACUAAGCAGUGAGAAGGUGCUCUGCUGUGGGGCCGACCAUCGAGGCUGCCAUUAUCUCUUAGGCACUCAGUGCCCGCGGCUCAAGUCAAGCCAGGAAUCUCUCUGAGCACGAUGACAGGUCAGCGCAGCCCUCCUGCGUGGCAGCCCUGGGACGGCCGGGACAGCCGGGAUUGGGAGCCCCCGGUAGGGUGACUGUGGGCAUGCCCCGCACCUCUCCCGGAGGGCUCUGCCCUGGCUGCCCAGGGCACUGCCUUCCAGCCUCCCGGCCUGUCCUGGGAUCCUGUCCCAAUUCAGUAUGAGUGUAAUUGGAUUUGAACCCUUGUCUCAGGGCCUGCCUCCGAGGGAGCCCACACUAAGACUUUCACACGGCUGUGAGCUAGCUCUCCCCGAGGCCAAGUGACUCAGAGGCUGGGCCUGGAUAGAGGGAGGGCUCCUCCUUCAGGGGCUCUGAGGGUCCAGGGCCAGGGCUUGGAAGCGGAACUGUUACCAGGCUCUGCAGAAACCUCUGCUGCCCUUGGGGCUGUGACAAGAGCUGUCUCCUCUCGUGUCCUUACUCUGUGUCAACAUCCUCUUAUCAGCCCUUGUAAAGGAGGCUGCCGGCAGCAUGUGGGUGGCAGCAAAGUCAUGCCCCGUCCUUGAGGUGGUGGAGUCAGAAAACUAGAGGAUAAUCACUUAUACGCAUUAGGUGUGAUAUCUUAUUUAUUCUCAUAACAAUCCUGGAAGCCAGACUGCCACGUACAGUCGGGCAGGUUGUUCACUGCAAGAGGGCAGUGCAAGUUCUUCCUACCAAAGCAGCCUACCUGGCACAUAUCUGUGCCCCUGUGGGUGGUGAGGGAAAGAGGAGGAAAGCCUUUCACCAUGCCCAAGAGUUUUCAGCAUGUAAGAGGUUGAACUAAGCUCUGAUUCCAAGAAUUCUGGCUUCAGGGCCUGCAUUCCUUACUACACUGCUUCAUACACCCUUGACAGGGCUGAGCCAGUAAUGAGGGCUGGAAAGCUGGGGAGGGCUUCGACUCUUGGGGGCCAAGUCGGUCCUGAGAUGUGGGGAGUCCAAAGAACCAAGGGAAGAUAGUCAUCUCCCCUGGGCGGACCAGGAGUCUGGGGGCCAAGCCUGAGCUACGUGCCAUGAGGGAAAAGGCCAGAACUAGAAGCCAGGAGACCAGAAUUCUGCGGCUUUGUGGUCCUGAGCAAGCCACCUUGCCUCCCAGAGCCUCCAUUUUCCCACCUGUAAAAUGGGAAGUUUACGGGCCCCAGCUUGUCUGUUCCACUGGCUAGGAAUAAACCAGAUGUUUGAAGGAUUUCAGAGGGAGGGAGGUAUUUUCCAGUGCCUAAAAUCACACCAAGAACUGCCCAAGUUCAAGCUCAAUACAUAUUUGUCGUCUGCUUAACACAAUUAUUAUUUCCCAGGUCUGUCUGUGCAGACCCCACCCCCAACCCCACCCUUUACUGACAGCCCAUCCCCCCCAAGUGCCUGCCUUCCUUCUCUGACACAGAACAGCACAGUCUGAAUGCCAGGGCGCUCCGGGCGAAUGACUCAGCCUCCGGAACGAGUCCCAACAUCUGGCUGACAAAGGGCACGGCUUGCUCCCGAAGCAACUCCUUCUGCACAAAUAUGUGCUUAAUAUUCAAUUAGUAUUUAUCUGCCACGAACAACAAUUACGCCACUGACGCUCAAUGAAGUGCCUGGUUAAUUAAUUAACGCAGCCUUUCACAUGCUGGCAGUAUUUCUCUGUGAGUACGGUGGCUAAAAAUAAUAGCACAGUGACGCCAGGACGAGCCAGGGCUGGCAGGGGCGCCCUGGGUUUUCCGGGCUCCAGAUGUGAGUCUGGAGCUGAGCGUCUGCCACCCAUCCAGUCAUCUUCUGGAGUUAAAAGAAAAAAAAAAACAAGGCCACGCCAGGAUUUGUAGCAAGACACUUAACCCCUCCACCGCCCAGCCCGGUUCCUCCUCCACAGCAGGAGGGCCAGAUGACCGUCAGGGCUCCCUGGUGUCCUGAACACAGGGGUUCCCUCUGUGACACUCAGAACUGUACUGAACCCUCCAGGCUCCACACGCAAGCACCACCUCGGCUCCUGGGUCCGAUCUCGGGAGAGGCUGCUGACCGCACCCCCUGCACCUGUUUCCCCUGCUCCCUACAGCUGGGUCCCCCCCUUCUGUUUCUGUUCCUGCUCCUGCCCUCUCCUGGCCUCCCAGCCCAGCUCCCCAGCUACCAGCCUCCAGGGCCCUACUCUCCCCUCUGCCCCCACCUCCCUCAGGACCUACUGAGGGGGCAGAGCACGGAGACCAGGCUGCCUGGAUUCACCCCAGCACUCAGCUGACUAGGUGUGUGACGCCGGACAAGUCACCCAAGGCCCCGUGCCUCAGUUUCCCCACUUCCAGAAUGCAGAUCCUCACGUGGGAAUAAUCACAGCCUCCGCUCAGAGUGGGAUAAACUGCCAGAAUCGGCCCAGAAGGUUCUGUGGAUAGCAGGGCGGACGGCACCCUCCCUAUGCGUGAGGACCCGAGGGGAACCCGAAGAGGAGACCCACAUAUUGUAAUUCAGAAGGUGCCACACCCGAGGGGCGUUCAAGGUGCCGAGGACGAGGAUGGGUGGAGAGGGGGCAGCGGUGGAGAGAGAAAAUCCCAAGCAGACUCCGUGCUGUCUGCGCAGACCCCCACGCGGGGCUCAAACUCAUGAGCUGCGAGAUCGUGACCUGAGCCGAAGCCGGACGCCCGACCGACCGGGCCACCCGGGCGCCCCAGGAUGUGCUCUUAAACUAACAGCACUAACGUUGGCCUUGGGAUUGUCAGACAGAGGCACCACUCCCCUGGCGGGCCAGUUCUUGGGCAUCAUUCCGGCAGGCUCCUCCAAGCACUGGAUCCGCACCUGAUGGCCUGAGAUAGGCCGGCGUGGAGCCUUUAGGAGUCGUCUAGGCGAGAGAAGGCGAAAAGGUUGAACCAGGGCCGUGGCUGCAGGCUGCGGAUUUGAGAAGAGAUUUGGAAGACAAUUCUGAAGAGUCCUCUUGGUUCGCUGAUCUACUGGAGGUAGAUGGUGGGGGGAGGGAGGCGAGGAAUUAAAAAUAACCCUAGUUUGUCUCCUGGUUUGCACGGCUGGUGGAAGACGAAGCAAGCCACCGGUCAAGACAGGGAAGAGCAGGAACGAGGAGGAAGGUGAUGUUUCUGAGCUGGCCCAUGGGUUUAAGGACCCAUGCAGAUAGCAGAUGCAGACUGGAGUCUGGAGGGCAGAGGACGACGGGGAGACGCUGGCCCAGAGGUGAGAAGAGGGGAGAGGAACGGGGCAAAGGUGUCACCUCAUCGUGAUGGCAGCAGUGUCGCGGAAAGCCACCAGCAGCUCAGACUGGGUCAGAUGCUGUUCGAUGUCUCUAGGAAGUCACAUGCACGGGGGCAAACCUUCCCAUCCUGCUAGGAGGCCACCUGCCGCCAGCAGCGUCUCUCUUGCCUGCAAGACAUGGAAUCUUAUCAUUAUCUCAGUCUCCUCAAGGCUUUACUCAUAGACGUGGCUCGUUGGCGGGCCUCCUGACAAAACUGUGGGGACAAGGUGGGGUCAGAAGCCACACGGGGAGGGAAGGGGGAGCGGGCGGGAGUCCUACAGACGGGGAGAGGAAGCUGCUGUUGCCAGAUGUCCGCAGGGGCCUGGGAAGGGGAGAGAGUGGGAAGAGGAGGCAGCGACAAUAGGGGAGGCACCACUUUCUCUGGGUGGGGAGGGGUGAGAGUAACACUGAAGAGCAGCGGGAGAGGGAGACUGAGAACCCGCCACCACCCUCACCCGGACGGGGCCACCACGCUGGCCAGUGUCCCUCUCCAAUGCACCCUCCAGGCCAACCGGAGUGAGCUCCAGCCCACCACACCUCACCCUCCCUUACUCCGAGUCACUCGCUGGCUCCCUGUUGCCCCAGAGUCUCAGUGUCCUUGUGCUCUCAGGAGGAGCCCUCGGCGAUCUCCCCACCGCCUGCCUCCCCAACCACUUGCCCUGCUCUUUCCUAAGGGAAAAACCUGCCGCGGCGGCCAAACCACUCCGGCUUCAUUUUCUCCGGGUACGCCACAGUUGUUCCUGCCCGUGAAGAAGCCGUUUUGGACCCUUAAACUCUUGUUUGAGCUGCCCUGAUGGUUUCAGAAACGUGGGGCAGCAAGAGGGUUUGACCCUUUGAGAAGCCCAGCGGUGGGCCCACAGAUAUGCCUCCCUCUUCUGGUGUGGGCACCGAGGGAAGGAACGCUCCUCCCCCAAGGCCAAAGCCGAUCACAGCAAGCCCGGUGCUCCCUUUUGCCAGUGAUUGGUUCAAAGGUGGGCAUGUGACCCAGUUUGGGCCAACAGAGAAGUCUGAGGAAGGGUUCUGGGAGAGAUUUUACUCCCUGUUAAAAAGGAAGCCGUGUGCUAGCAGCUCUUUCCUGCUUUUGGAUACCGAGGUGUGAGCAUGUGAUGUGGCAGCCACCUUGUGACUAUGAGGGGAAACAUGGCUGAUACGCUGAGAAUAGCUGACGGGAAUAAUGAGCAGAAAUGAGGCCCAGGAUAAUGUACUGAGCCACGGUACCUACCCUGGAUGUCCUCAACCUCCUGACAUCUUGUUAAGCAAGCUUGUGAACUUCUGUAACCUAGCUCGGCAUCCCCAUUUGUAAAAUUAGGAAGAAGGAGGACAAGGGGAGGAGAGACGAUCUCACAGGGCUGUUAUGAGGAUAAAAGUGAACUAUUGGUGAACCCCUUAGUUAUAUGGCUGCACCUAUGCCUGGAAAUAUUGGUGUUAAAUAAAUAGAAAUAAUGAAAACUCC